UACGUAGGGGGCAAGCGUUAUCCGGAUUCACUGGGUGUAAAGGGAGCGUAGACGGCGACGCAAGUCUGGAGUGAAGCCCGGGGCCCAACCCCGGGACUGCUCUGGAAACUGCGGCGCUGGAGUACGGGAGGGGCAGGCGGAAUUCCUGGUGUAGCGGUGAAAUGCGUAGAUAUCAGGAGGAACACCGGCGGCGAAGGCGGCCUGCUGGACCGUGACUGACGUUGAGGCUCGAGAGCGUGGGGAGCAAACAGG
Molecule: ribosomal RNA, 252 nt
Filed under: uncultured bacterium
Lineage: Bacteria
Description: partial 16S ribosomal RNA
Rfam family: Bacterial small subunit ribosomal RNA
Source: RNAcentral